GGACGCACAAUGAGAAGGAGGUGAACAUGCAGGUAGAGACUGGGGUGAUGUGGCCACAAGCCAGGAGACACCUGAGGCCCCGGAGCUGGAAAAGGCAGGAAGAGAUUUGCCCCAAAGCCUUCGGAGGAGGGAGCAUGGCCCUGUGACACCUGACCUUGGAAUUGUGGCCUCCUGCUCAGGAACUGGGUGGGGGAUGGGAAGAUCGUUAACCCCUGUCAUAAGCCCCCGCCAGUUUGUGUGUGCCACUGGCUGAUGGCAGGUGAGUGGAAGGGACGGGACCUCGUUUCUGGAGCAAGAACUUCAGGUGCAGCGAGCUACUGCCAGUCGUUCGUUCCCUCCUGCCCUGCAUGGGACACCUGCACGUCCAGGGAGUUCCUGCUCCCUGAGCCCAGUGAGAGAAGACGCGCGUCGGAGGGCAGCCUGGAGCCAGCAGCCACGGAGCCCGAGGGAGCAGACGAAUUCUGCUGUGAACACAUUCUGCAUCUGUGUGCAACCGUAAUGUGGUCUCACACCAACAUCCCAUGCAUCCCCCAUGACUGUUGUGUUCGUUCAUUCUGGCAGGCAAGUAUUCCCACCCCGGGAAAACUCAGACAUGACAUGCCUUUCUUUCAGUGUUGGGGCUCCCCAACACACCCCUGCUUCAUUGGGCCAUUUCCCAAAGCAAACAUACCUUCCAGCUCUAUCACGCUCCGAGUGGUCAAGCCAUCUGGAAAUGUUCACACGCUGGUAUGAGUCCUGCUAACUCGUGUGAGCCCACCUAGGGAGGAAUGAGCUCUGUUUCUACUGCGGAACCUCACUGAUUUGAGAAAUGGAUGAUGGCACAAGUGCUAAGGGGAAAUCUGACAGGGUCUCUGGGGGGCAGACUGCAGCCCCCACCCCCAAGGGACUUGGCAGGAGUCUUAAGGCCACAGAUCUGGAGAUAAGGAGAUCAUCCUAGAUUCCCCCAUCUAAUCACAGGAGGCUUAACAGCAGAAAGCUUGAUUCAGCUGGAGUGACAGACCCAGCACAGAGAUCAGGCACACCUGAAGCAGGAGGGGUCAGCUCGCCACCACUGGGGGGACCACCAGGGUCUGCUGGGCUCACACCCGGUCAGCUGCAAAGGGACCUCCUCCCAGCCAGCAACUCAGUGAGCCCGCGCUCAGUCAUCCAGAGCCCUCAGACAGGAGAGCAACCUUCAAGUCACCUUGACAUGAGCCCAGUUGAGCCUGGACUUCCCGCCUGCAUAGCGGCAGAAUACAUGGGCUUUGCUUUAAGCUGCUCUCUGGGAGGACAGAUGCUAUGGGAGCAGCAUGCAGUCUGGGUGGCAAGGAGCUGGAGGCUUGGGGUUCCUACAGGGGGUCCCCGAGCUCACCGUGGAAAGAAGCAAAGCCCCCUGGGAUGCCCACCCUUCCCACCGCCAAGCUUCUCCCGCGCAGACACACUCGCUGAGCUGACAGAGCAGGUCCUGCGGUGGGCCGGCCCCCCGUGGUUCUAUUUAUACGGCCUGUAUGCAAACGAGGACUUGGGGAAACCCAGCAUGUGAUUGGGUUACAGAGCAUAUGUAAAUAGCCAGAGGCAGCUCUGCUCUCUGAUUGGAUAAGAUUGCUGGGGAAGUCAGCCAACCAGAGCAGAGAUGGCCCUAGACACCCUCCAAGAAGCGCUGCUCCGGGCCCUCCCCGGAGAGCCGGGCGCUUGACUGGGGGAAGUGGAGGCUGUAGCUGGGAUUCCUGAUGGUUUUUAUUGUUUUGUUUUAAAAAAAAUUUUUUUAAUUUAAGUUCAAUUUGCCAAUAUAUAGUAUAACGCCCAGUGCUCAUCCCAUCACGCGCCCGCCUAAGUGCCCGUCACCUGGUGCUGAUGAAUUCACGGGGCCUUAUGGUGAUGAAGCCCCAGUAGGACGGCAGUGGUGAAAUCCAUCACCUUCCGACUGACAAAGAAAUCCAGUAUCAUCUUUAUUCCGGAAUAUCAGAGAAUGGAGAGGAAGAGGGUUUGGGCGUGUUUUCGUGGUUUUUCGUUGUUGUUGUUGUUGUUGUUGUUGUUUGUUAGUAUUUUUAGGGAAACGAUAUACACUUCAACGUAUAUGAGAAUAUCAAAUACCUGGGCAUCCCAGAGCAGUGUUUGCAGAGUGUGGUCUUGGGCCAACAUCAGGUCACCUGGGGAUUCGUUAGGAAUGCAAACUCGGGUCACUCCAGACCCAUUGAGUCACCAAGGGAAUGAGGCCCAGCUCUCUGCUCAGAUGCAUGUUAAUGUUUGAGAGCCAAACAAACUAGAUUGAACGGGCUCACUCAGAAAUUGAGCCACGUACUAAAUUAUCUGUCCUGUCUGCAAAUGAGUCAGUAAAAAAAUCGAAUGGCAAAAAUUUCUCUCAUUAUAUUAAAUAAGAUAAACAAGGAUACUCUUGGAAAAAGUGGGAUUCUUUUCAUGAAAAUAGAAAGCUCACUGAGAGGUUGAUAGAAAGAGACCUGCUUCCUUGGCUAUUAAAAUAAAUUUGAAAAAAAAAUCUAUUUUCUCCUAAACUGAUCUAUAAAUUCAACAUAAUCCCAUUAGGAUUUUAUCUGUCAUUUGGAAAGGGGAUAAAAGUUGUGAAGAUCCUAUACAAGGAAAUAGAGAGACAACAGAUAAAUUCUUUAAAAGAAUAAGACUUUUCUAUAUACAAGACCAUAUUGGGAUGCCUGGAUGGCUCAGCAGUUGAGUGUCUGCCUUUGGCUCAGGUCCUGACCCUGGGGUCCUGGGAUUGAGUCCCACAUUGGGCUCCUUGCAUGGAGCCUGCUUCUCCCUCUGCUUAUGUCUCUGCCUCUCUCUCUCUCUGUCUUUCAUGAAUACAUUUUUUAAAAUAUUUUUUAAAAAGACCAUACUAUCUGCAAACAGGGGAAGUUUGAUUUUCUUCCUUUCCAAAAUGGAUGUUCUUUAUACUUAAGAUCUCAGGGAUGUCACCGAA
RNAcentral lists this long non-coding RNA (2914 nucleotides) under Canis lupus familiaris (dog). RNAcentral's name for it is "lncRNA (ENSCAFG00000042008.2, ENSCAFG00845007247.1)". The record is from RNAcentral. Lineage: Eukaryota; Metazoa; Chordata; Mammalia; Carnivora; Canidae.